GACGAACGCUGGCGGCGUGCCUAAUACAUGCAAGUAGAACGCUGAAGAGAGGAGCUUGCUCUUCUUGGAUGAGUUGCGAACGGGUGAGUAACGCGUAGGUAACCUGCCUUGUAGCGGGGGAUAACUAUUGGAAACGAUAGCUAAUACCGCAUAACAAUGGAUGACACAUGUCAUUUAUUUGAAAGGGGCAAUUGCUCCACUACAAGAUGGACCUGCGUUGUAUUAGCUAGUAGGUGAGGUAACGGCUCACCUAGGCGACGAUACAUAGCCGACCUGAGAGGGUGAUCGGCCACACUGGGACUGAGACACGGCCCAGACUCCUACGGGAGGCAGCAGUAGGGAAUCUUCGGCAAUGGGGGCAACCCUGACCGAGCAACGCCGCGUGAGUGAAGAAGGUUUUCGGAUCGUAAAGCUCUGUUGUAAGUCAAGAACGAGUGUGAGAGUGGAAAGUUCACACUGUGACGGUAGCUUACCAGAAAGGGACGGCUAACUACGUGCCAGCAGCCGCGGAAAUACGUAGGUCCCGAGCGUUGUCCGGAUUUAUUGGGCGUACAGCGAGCCCAGGCGGUUUGAUAAGUCUGAAGUUAAAGGCUGUGGCUCAACCAUAGUUCGCUUUGGAAACUGUCCAACUUGAAUGCAAAAGGGGAAAAGGGAAUUCCAUGUGUAGCGGUGAAAUGCGUAGAUAUAUGGAGGAACACCGGUGGCGAAAGCGGCUCUCUGGUCUGUAACUGACGCUGAGGCUCGAAAGCGUGGGGAGCGAACAGGAUUAGAUACCCUGGUAGUCCACGCCGUAAACGAUGAGUGCUAGGUGUUGGAUCCUUUCCGGGAUUCAGUGCCGCAGCUAACGCAUUAAGCACUCCGCCUGGGGAGUACGACCGCAAGGUUGAAACUCAAAGGAAUUGACGGGGGCCCGCACAAGCGGUGGAGCAUGUGGUUUAAUUCGAAGCAACGCGAAGAACCUUACCAGGUCUUGACAUCCCGAUGCUAUUUCUAGAGAUAGAAAGUUACUUCGGUACAUCGGUGACAGGUGGUGCAUGGUUGUCGUCAGCUCGUGUCGUGAGAUGUUGGGUUAAGUCCCGCAACGAGCGCAACCCCUAUUGUUAGUUGCCAUCAUUCAGUUGGGCACUCUAGCGAGACUGCCGGUAAUAAACCGGAGGAAGGUGGGGAUGACGUCAAAUCAUCAUGCCCCUUAUGACCUGGGCUACACACGUGCUACAAUGGUUGGUACAACGAGUUGCGAGUCGGUGACGGCAAGCUAAUCUCUUAAAGCCAAUCUCAGUUCGGAUUGUAGGCUGCAACUCGCCUACAUGAAGUCGGAAUCGCUAGUAAUCGCGGAUCAGCACGCCGCGGUGAAUACGUUCCCGGGCCU
This 1369-nucleotide ribosomal RNA is filed under the name uncultured bacterium. Its description in RNAcentral is "bacterial SSU rRNA". It matches the Rfam family "Bacterial small subunit ribosomal RNA", at positions 28 to 1381 of the family's 1533-position model. The record is from RNAcentral.